Molecule: ribosomal RNA, 253 nt
Filed under: uncultured bacterium
Lineage: Bacteria
Description: partial 16S ribosomal RNA
Rfam family: Bacterial small subunit ribosomal RNA
Source: RNAcentral
UACGUAGGGGGCAAGCGUUGUCCGGAAUUAUUGGGCGUAAAGAGCGCGUAGGCGGUCCGAUAAGUCGGCUGUGAAAGUCAGGGGCUCAACCCUUGGAAGCCGGCCGAUACUGUCGGACUAGAGUCCGGAAGAGGCGAGUGGAAUUCCUGGUGUAGCGGUGGAAUGCGCAGAUAUCAGGAGGAACACCGGUGGCGAAGGCGGGAUCCUGGGCCAGUACUGACGCUGAGGAGCGAAAGCGUGGGGAGCAAACAGG